UUCUUCCUUAAAUGUUUGAGAAAAAUAUAUUUAUGAAGUCAACCAGACUUGGAGUAAUGUUCGAGAAAACAUUCAUUUUUACUUCUCUUCUAGGAUUUUUUAUACUGUGCUUUCUGAAGGAAUUUGUUCACAUAAAACAUUUUUGAAAAAAAUUAAUUGCUAAGUUAUUAUCAACUUAUGUGUAUCAAACAGUAUCAAUUUAUUCUUUCUAUAUCUGUGAAUAUGAAGUACUGUUUUAUUUUUUAUUCAUAAUAUUGGUAGCCUGGGUUUUCCCUCUCUUAGUUGUCUUUCUGUGAUUUUCUUCCUAUUUUGCUACUCUAUUUUCAAAAACCAUCUUUUAUACUGUUAACUUUCUCCACUAUAUUUCUGCUAAAUUACUGAAUUGUGCUUUUUGUUUUACUGUUUUCCUUCAUUAUUUUUGCCCUAUUAUUUAUUUAUUCAUUGCUUCAUACACUGGCAGUUUAUAUUGUUUUUCAUUAGAAUGAAUUUACUUAUUAUGACAGUUUUAGGUUUAUAAAAAAAUUGUGAGGAUAGUACAGAGAGUUCACACAAACUGUGUACACAGUUCAUCUCAUUUUUUAGUACUGUAAUUAGUGAGGUAAAUUUGUUACAAUUAAUGAAGCAUUACUGAUACAUUAUUAAAGUCUUUACUUUAUUCAUAUCCCUUUAGCAAAUGUUAAGGAUUAUUCUUUGUGCUGUAAAUUUCCAUGGGGCUUUAUAAAUGUAUAAUCUCAUGUAUUCAUCACUACAGUUACCUUAUAGAAUAUUUCAUCAUUUUAAAAUAUCCCCUGUAAUUCAGUUAUUCUUCCCUUUAUCCCCCUAAACACAUGGCAACCAAUGGUCAUUUUACUCUCUCUCUCUCUUCUUCCAUAAUAUCACACAACUGUAAUUGCAUAAAAUGCAGCCUUUUCAGACUGCCUUUCUUCUAAUUUUAGCAGCAAGUACUAAUGACUGACUCACCUAUGCAUAUUUAUAACCUGACAGUGAAUAUAAUUUUACCACUGAAUAUCCUAUUGUAUGGGUUUAUCACAGCUUGUAAACUCACCCAUUGAAGGCCAUUUUAUUGCUUCCAGUUAGUUUUUUGGUGAUUAUGAGUAAAGCUUCUCUAAACAUUUGUGUUAAGGUUUUUAUGUAUAUAUAUUUUUAAGUUGGGGAAAUACCUAGAGGGAGAAGCACUGAAUAAUAUGGUAAGAUUAUGCAUGUGUUUACCUUUUAUUGAUUUUCAAAUUACCUUGUAAAGUAUCUGUACUACUUACAUUUCCCGCAGCAAUAAUGAGUUUACUGUUUUCUAUAUCCAUGCCAGCAAUGGUAUUGUCAAUUUUUGAAUUUUAGCCAGUGCAAUAGGUUUUGAAAAUAAUUGCUGGUAUUUUCAUUCAAAUUGCCUAAUGAUGAAACAUGUAAGCAGGUUUUCAUAUGCUUCACUUGUUGAAAAAAAAUUAUUUUUGCCUUGGCUCCUCUGUCAGAUAUUUGUUGGUGAUAAAUGUUUGAGUCUAUUUUGUAACUCUGUUUUAUUUUCCAUCAAACUGUGUGCCUAGUUUUUCACCAAGACCUUACUGUCAAUAUUAAUACAGCUUUAGGCUAAGUCUUGAAAUUGAGUAGUGUUAAGUCCUUCAACUUUGAUCUUCGUCUUCAUUACUGUUUUUGCUAUUAUCACUUUGUGCCUCUACAUAAAUAUUUCAGAAUAACGUUGUCAAAGAACCUUAUUAAGAUAUUGAGAUUGCACCAAUCUACAGAUGAAAAUAGGAAGAAAUAACAUUUCAACAAUAUUAACUAUAUUGAGUCUUCUAGUACAUGGACAUGGGAUUUUUUUUUUUUUAGGGCUACACCCAUGGUAUAUGGAGGUUCCCAGGCUAAGGGUCCAAUUGCAGCUUCAGCCACCAGCCUACACCAGAGCCACAGCAUCACAGGAUCUUAGCUGCAUCUGCAAACUACACCACUGCUCAUAGCAAUGACAGAUCCUUAACUCACUAAGCAAGGCCAGGGAUUGAACGUGCAUCCUCAUGGAUAUUAGGUGGGUUUGUUAACUAGUGAACCACAAUGGGAACUCCGGACAUGGGGUAUCUUUCCAACUAUUUAGACAUUCCUUAAUUUAUUUCAUCAGAAUUUUCUAAUUUUCUUAAUAAAUAAUUUGUUAGAAUUAUACCUAUUAAUUUCUCUUUUGGUGCCAUUGUAAUAUAUUUAUUUUUAACUUAUAAUUCCUGUUACUCAUUGUUGGUAUAUACAAAAAGAAAUUUAUUUUUAUAUAUUAAUUUUAUAUCAUGCAACCAUGCUAUAAAUAUUUUGUUUUGUUACAGAGUAGGUGGUAUUACACACUAUUUCUUUAAGAUAGUCUACAUGAACAAUCAUUGCAUCUGUGAACAAAGAUAGUUUAAUUUUUAUUUUAUUUUCCUGUCUUAUUGUAAUAUCUAGUAUUUCCAGUAUGAUUUUUAACAGUAUCAGUGAAAAAGGGCAUUGCUUUUUACCCAUCUUAAUGGGAAAGUUCUAGUUUCUGACCAUCUAUUAUAAUGCUACCUAUAGUACUUUGUUUUGUUUAGAUUUUUUAAAAUCAAUUUGUGAGAGUUCUAUUCAUUCCUGAGAGUUCUUAUCAUCAAUUUGUCUUGGAUUUUGUCAAAUUAUUUCUCAAUAUCAACUAAUAGGACUUUUCUUUUUUAGUCUGUUUUUAUGGUUGUAUACUUGGACUGAUUUUCAAAUAAUAAUAUUCCACCAAAUUGGAUAUGGCUCUUAUGCCUUGGAAAGUAGGUUUUUGUUGAUGAAUGCUCCUGGCAUAGUUCUCGUCCCGUUGCCAGGGUCAUAAGGGACUCUUAUUUUGCUCUUUGCCAUACUAAAAUAAUGUGUCCUUGACGCAAAAUACACAAAAGAAUCCCCUUCCUCAAGACUGUGCCCAGCAGACAUUUCUCACCCUUAAGCUGGUACAACACUCAGACUCUAGCAAUUUAUCAAAACUACCAUUUAAAGUUUUUUAUCAGUUUAUGGUUUCAAAAUCUGAUCUAAGCUAGUUUUGGCUAUAGCUCUACAUUUACCUGUCUCUCCAAUUUUCAGGUUGAUAGUUUGUCCUACAAGUUUAGUUCUCUGAUUUGUCCAAGAUAAGUCACUGAUUUUCAGUUUGUUCAUGUUUUUUUUCUAAGAGUGGGAGUGACAAUUUUCAAUCCAUUUAAAUGUGAGAGCUGAAACCUCCAGUGUAGAUCAUUGAUUUAUAUUGUUUGUCCCCUUCUUAUAAAAGCAUUUGAAACCAUAAAUUUCCCUCUAUACAGUAAUGAAUCACAGUCCUCAAGUUUUGAGAUAUUAUACUUUCAUUAUCAUUCAAGUCAAGAGAUUUUUAAAGCUACUGUAAUUACUAUUUUCUUUAAUCCAUGGAAUAUUUACUGAUGUACUGCUUAAUUUCUAGCCAUUUUCUAAUUGCUUUAACAUUACUGAGCCCUAAUGUGUUGAAGGAAAUUGUUCUAUAUUAUUUCAAGCCUUUGGAACUUAUUGAAUGUUUCUACACCAUAAUGUUAUCAAUUUUAAUCACUGUUCUAUGUGUAAUUUAAAGGCAUGAAUUACAGCAAUUGUUGGAUAUGCCAACUAUUUCAAGUGAGUUAUUUUUUUUUUUUUUUUUUUUUGUCUUUUUGCCAUUUCUUGGGCCACUUUCACUACAUAUGGAGGUUCCCAGGCUAGAGGGUGAAUCAGAGCUGUAGCCACCGGCCUACGCCAGAGCCACAGCAAUGAGGGAUCCCAGCCGUGUCUGCAACCUACACCACAGCUCACAGCAACACUGGAUCCUUAACCCACUGAGCAAGACCAGGGACCGAACCCGCAACCUCAUGGUUCUUAGAUUCGUUAACCACUGCGCCACGAAGGGAACUCCCCAAGCUAAUAUUUUUUUAUUCAAAUCUUCUAUAUCAUUGAUGAUACAGUUUGAUCUAUUGGUUAUUGAGAAAAUACAUUAAUAUCUUUGAGUAUGAUGUAUGAUUUGUGAUUUCUCUAGCUUUAUGAGAUAGAUAGAGCUAUAUAAUAAAUUGUAUAUCCUUUUGAAAUUAUAACUUCCUCCAUCAAUGCAAACGAUUACUCUUUAUCUCUUAUAAAAUUUCUUGCCUUCAAGUUUAACUUUUAUGUUAAUAUACCCACACCACUUUUGAUUUUUAAGUAUGUGCAUAAUAUUUACUUUUGCAUUCUUUUACAUACAAAGUUUCUGUUUCCUUAUAUGAAGUUUUGUCCUCUUAAGAGCACACAUUUCAUCUUUUUUUUUUUUUUUCACAAAAAGAUUGCAGACAUUGUCCUUUAUUUGUAUUGUUUAGAGCUGACAUGGCUGAUCAAACUUUGUUUUUGACAUAUCCGUAGGAUGGUUUAACCAGGACAUUUACAUACUGACCUUUAUAUAAAUUCCCCAGCUUUUAACUUUGCCCAGAGUUUCCCACCUCCAUUCUUUGUGCUUAAUUACAAAGGAACAUUUGCUGCUUUAAAUUUCCUCUUAUCAGAACAUCUGACAGUUUGUUAGGUGUCAGGGCCUUCUUUCUAACAGGUUUUAGUAUCCCCCUUCUUGACACAGCCACCCUCCCAAGGCCUCUGUCCAUAAAAAGUCUGCUGACCCACCCCUUCCCUGAGACUUACCUGACUUUUUCUUUCAGCAUCUCCUUACUGGCAAUCUUUAUCCUCUCUCUAGUGUAAUAGUCUUUCCCAGUGAAGUCUCUCCUUACAUAAGUCCAGUUUUUAUUUUUUACUUAACAGGGCACUUCUUUUAGUAAAACCAUUGACAUAAGAGGCUUUAGUCUAUCACUUUGCCAUUUGUUUGUUAGUAGCUCUAUCUGCUUUUUUUACUUAUAUUUUACCCUGUUUAUUACAUAUUAUUCAGUUUUUAUCCUGUACUAAAUUUUAUUUUACCUUGAUUAUAUAUUAUUAUUGAGUUCUAUUAUAUUCCUGGUUAGAUUUUUAGAUGCUCUGUUCUUUAUUAUUCCUUUAGUAGUUACACAUGUUGAUCAUUCUUUUCUUCAUAUUUAUAUUUUUAUUGCCUUUAAUUACAUUAGCCUGGCACAGUAUCACGACUGAUAUAAAACAAAUUAGCAUCAAAAAUUUAUUUGAAAGUGUAUUUUAGUAAAUGUUAGUAGUAGUAAUAACAGAAGAAGCAGCAACAGCAGCAGCAGUGACAGCAGGAGCCGUAGUAAACAUAAAAAAGGAAUAACAUAUUUGUAGAAGACAUAUGUGACAGGAAUGGGGAAAGUGCUUUAUAUCCAUUAUUUCAUCUAAUAUUCACUAUAAGCUUAAACAUUACUCACAUUUAUAUCCCACAUAUAAGUAAAGAAAUCUGAGGUCUUAACAAGUUGUAUAAUAAUCCAAAUGCCAUAAAAAAUACACCACAAAAAACAGUGUCUGAGCUCAGGUGUAUUGAAGUUCACUUUGCCAAUCAUAAGUAUUUAAUAGCGCAGGUCUAUGGAGACAGAUAAAUAGCCUGAUGAUAAUACUUUUGUUAAAUAUCUAGCAACAAAUAGAAAAGGCCAAUUUCUUAUUGAAAAGGACUGUCUUCAAUUUAACAUUUGAUGAAGCAUUUUCAUACAUAUUAAUCUGCAAUGAGUCAGUAAACACUUCUAAGAAACAAAUGAAAAAAAUCACAAUUGUACAAGCUUAGUUAAUGAAGUGAUUAUGAUGAAAAUGUUUCAAAUGAAUCAUAGUGAAUGAAGCAUUCGGUGAUUUACAGAAAUCCAUGGGCAUUUAAUUAAUGAUAAUCAUAAAUGGCCACAUGUGAACAUCUAAGAUGCAGUAACGAUUUGGAGAUGAAGGUGUUGUAUUGAAGGCAGGCUGAUUGUAUUCAAAUGAGGAUACACAAUGGUUAAGACAGUGGAAUAUUCUAGGAUACUAAGAUUUCAUCUAUGAAGAUGAAAGGUAGUGAGAUACGCCACCACAAAAUAUGCUAUUUUAGUAAAUUGAUUGCUUUAAAAUUACUUAAGAAGCAGUUAGUGCAAAGAAACCCCCCUUUGUCCCCCUGGAAACAGCAACUAAAUCUCCCAUGAGAAAGGUACCCUCACUGUACCAGGAGGUAGAAGUCAUUAUC
RNAcentral lists this long non-coding RNA (6022 nucleotides) under Sus scrofa (pig). Its description in RNAcentral is "lncRNA (ENSSSCG00025055358.1)". The record is from RNAcentral. Lineage: Eukaryota; Metazoa; Chordata; Mammalia; Artiodactyla; Suidae.